AUGAGUUUAUAAAUUAUUUAAUUAAAAAAAUUAAAAAUAUAGCAAUAAAAUUAUUUGUGAGUAGUUAGUGCAGUACAAUAAUAGAUUUCUGUUUCUUCUGUGCCAACAGUAUCUUGAUGACUACACAAGAAAAGGAGGGAAUAAUUGCAUUCCUGUCCAAUAUGAAAUAGAGCCAAACCACUUCUGCUCCAUGAGUCACUGAUCUCAUCAAUAGAUUUAGGCUGCCCAGAGGGGCACAUCCUAUCACCAUCUCAGGAAACAUUAUUUGUGAAUUAAUUGUUAGAUAUCAUUACCAGGCUUCCAAAUAUGUCACUGAAUGCUAGCUAUGGUCCAAUAGCUCUAGCAAAAGAAGGACACCAUCAUACUGGGAGAAAUGUUCUGAAACCCUCCUAGUUGCAGCUAUCAAGAAGAGAAAUAUUAAGGUGAAAAAAGGGCUGAACUCUCCUCAGAUUCCUGACAUUACAGGAUCUACAUCCUGAUUUCCUGCUUUAUGCUACUUCUAAUAAGCUGCACAAUGGAAAAGAACCGAGAAAUUAAUUGCCAAAAGCUUGUAUGUGUUGAUAUUGCACAGGAAAAUCUGCUUUUCAUCUUUUUAACCAGCUCACUUCACAGUCUCUAAUGAGAACAAAAAUGAACACAAAAAUCCAGCUGGUUAAAGCAGUGAAGUGGCACCUAAUGUAUACAGUCUUGGGAUUUGAAUGGCUACCAGAAUAACAGAAGAUGAAGCAUUCCUGCAAGUCAUGAAAGAAGGAAAGCUGAAUAGAAAACUGAAAGAGAAUUGACACAAGGAUAAAGGACAGUUAUUAAAUUUGUGAACUCUAUCAGAGGACAAGAAAAUAAACUGUAUGACUGACUAGAAGUGUAUUGGAGUAUGACAUUUCAUUUUUAUGCAGGUCUCUGUGUGAUAAAGGUAACACAUUGAAGAACACCGCAACUCCACAAAAGCAGUUAGCACAUUCAUUGAAUAUCAAGACGGCUAAAGUGCUUUGCUUUUGUCACUAUCUAUCUCAUGUUUUUAUAUGGGGCAAUAUAGUUCAGGGGCUCAUAACUGAGCAUCAGACUCUGCUUCUAUAGCAAGUUUAUUAUAGCUUUCCUUUUUAUUCCA
Strigops habroptila (Kakapo) is the source of this 1105-nucleotide long non-coding RNA. RefSeq lists it as uncharacterized. The record is from RefSeq and is a predicted model, not a curated record. Lineage: Eukaryota; Metazoa; Chordata; Aves; Psittaciformes; Psittacidae. The transcript has 6 exons.